RNAcentral lists this long non-coding RNA (558 nucleotides) under Manihot esculenta (cassava). RNAcentral's name for it is "long non-coding RNA (MESC_LNC010310)". The record is from RNAcentral. Lineage: Eukaryota; Viridiplantae; Streptophyta; Magnoliopsida; Malpighiales; Euphorbiaceae.
UGGCACGAGGGGUCAAAGCAGUUCCUUUAGCAGGUGUUCUACCCAUUUCAGGCAUAAAACCCAGAGUCAUAUUAGUUGCUAUGACAGGUUUACUCUUGGUUUCAGGCAUAGCAUGGGCGGGCAUAUUAGUUGCUGUGGGAGGUUUUCUAUCAGUUUCAGGUAUAACAUGAGUGGUCAUAUUAGUUUCUGUGGAAGGUUUUCUAUCAAUUUCAGCUAUAAAAUGUGGUGGCACAUUAGCCGAAGUGGGAGGUUUUCUAUCAGUUUCAGGCAUAAAAUGAGGUGUCACAUUCACUGAAGUGGGAGGCUUUCUAUCAGUUUCAGGCAUAACAAGAGGGCUUGUAUUGAUUGCUGUUGGAGGUUUUCUAUCAUUUUCAGGCAUAACAAGAGAGCUCACACUGGUUGCUGUUGGAGGUUUUAUAUCAGUUUCUUUUGCAGCACCAGGGUUGAUAUUAGAUAUCCUAUUUGUUUCAUGUGCAACUUGAGAAGCCAUAUUGAUUGAUUGAUCUUCACUGCUAAAUUUCUCUCGUCUUUCAAAUCUCUCAACCAGAGAGCGUGUCC